UACAGAGGAUGCAAGCGUUACUCGGAAUCACUGGGCGUAAAGCGUGCGUAGGCGGUUGGUUAAGUCUGCUGUGAAAGCCCUGGGCUCAACCUGGGAACUGCAGUGGAUACUGGCCAGCUAGAGUGAGAUAGAGGAUGGUGGAAUUCCCGGUGUAGCGGUGAAAUGCGUAGAGAUCGGGAGGAACACCAGUGGCGAAGGCGGCCAUCUGGAUCAACACUGACGCUGAGGCACGAAAGCGUGGGGAGCAAACAGG
RNAcentral lists this ribosomal RNA (253 nucleotides) under uncultured bacterium. Its description in RNAcentral is "partial 16S ribosomal RNA". It matches the Rfam family "Bacterial small subunit ribosomal RNA", at positions 524 to 776 of the family's 1533-position model. The record is from RNAcentral.